GCGUGUGUAGCUCAGUUGGUAGAGAGGGCAGGUGUGAAAGCCUGUCAGGUCGGUGGUUCAAGUCCAUCCACACGCU
This 76-nucleotide transfer RNA is filed under the name bacterium. Its description in RNAcentral is "tRNA-OTHER". It matches the Rfam family "tRNA". From Rfam's summary of the family: Transfer RNA (tRNA) molecules are approximately 80 nucleotides in length. Their secondary structure includes four short double-helical elements and three loops (D, anti-codon, and T loops). Further hydrogen bonds mediate the characteristic L-shaped molecular structure. tRNAs have two regions of fundamental functional importance: the anti-codon, which is responsible for specific mRNA codon recognition, and the 3' end, to which the tRNAs corresponding amino acid is attached (by aminoacyl-tRNA synthetases). tRNAs cope with the degeneracy of the genetic code in two manners: having more than one tRNA (with a specific anti-codon) for a particular amino acid; and 'wobble' base-pairing, i.e. permitting non-standard base-pairing at the 3rd anti-codon position. The record is from RNAcentral.